UUCGGGAUAGCUCAACGGACAGAGCAAUCGCCCGGCAAGCGAAAGACCCGGGUUCGAUUCCCGGCCUCGGCU
The sequence is a transfer RNA, 72 nucleotides long. It matches the Rfam family "tRNA". From Rfam's summary of the family: Transfer RNA (tRNA) molecules are approximately 80 nucleotides in length. The record is from Rfam.